AUUGAACGCUGGCGGCAGGCCUAACACAUGAAAGUCGAGCGGAUGAAGGGAGCUUGCUCAUGGAUUCAGCGGCGGACGGGUGAGUAAUGCCUAGGAAUCUGCCUGGUAGUGGGAGAUAACGUCCGGAAACGGGCGCUAAUACCGCAUACGUCCUGAGGGAGAAAGUGGGGGAUCUUCGGACCUCACGCUAUCAGAUGAGCCUAGGUCGGAUUAGCUAGUUGGUGGGGUAAAGGCCUACCAAGGCGACGAUCCGUAACUGGUCUGAGAGGAUGAUCAGUCACACUGGAACUGAGACACGGUCCAGACUCCUACGGGAGGCAGCAGUGGGGAAUAUUGGACAAUGGGCGAAAGCCUGAUCCAGCCAUGCCGCGUGUGUGAAGAAGGUCUUCGGAUUGUAAAGCACUUUAAGUUGGGAGGAAGGGCAGUAAGUUAAUACCUUGCUGUUUUGACGUUACCAGCAGAAUAAGCACCGGCUAACUUCGUA
This 484-nucleotide ribosomal RNA is filed under the name uncultured bacterium. Its description in RNAcentral is "partial 16S ribosomal RNA". It matches the Rfam family "Bacterial small subunit ribosomal RNA", at positions 30 to 507 of the family's 1533-position model. The record is from RNAcentral.